RNAcentral lists this long non-coding RNA (405 nucleotides) under Salvia miltiorrhiza (redroot sage). RNAcentral describes it as "long non-coding RNA (SMIL_LNC012113)". The record is from RNAcentral. Lineage: Eukaryota; Viridiplantae; Streptophyta; Magnoliopsida; Lamiales; Lamiaceae.
UUUCGGUCGAGGACUCGGGAGAGCGAGCCCAUGAUCGUCGGUGGCGUUGGUAAAGGGGUUUUUUUCUUUUUCUUUUUAUAUUCGAGAAGGGGGAACGGUGGGGUUUGAAAGUUAUAUGGCGAUUUUGAAAGUCGGGUUUUGGGAAGUUUUUUGGGAGUGUGUGAGUGAGUUGAUAUAGAAGAGGUGGACGGAUAGAUCUAAGUAUUUUUGGUAAUAUAGUAUGAUGUUAACAAGGUUUUCCAUAGUUAAAUUCUAGGAAUUUUUCUUGUUGUAAGAAUUGGUGUUUCUUGGUGAAUUUGUGGGAGGAGAGGGCAAUUAUCGAUGGAGUACAAGGAAAUUGGCCUAGAUAUUGGAUACAUAUUGUUUGUGGAGUUUGAAGUUUGAAUCCUUGCUUAAGAUGAAACU